This 253-nucleotide ribosomal RNA is filed under the name uncultured bacterium. RNAcentral's name for it is "partial 16S ribosomal RNA". It matches the Rfam family "Bacterial small subunit ribosomal RNA", at positions 524 to 776 of the family's 1533-position model. The record is from RNAcentral.
UACGUAGGGUGCAAGCGUUGUCCGGAAUUAUUGGGCGUAAAGAGCUCGUAGGCGGUUCGUCGCGUCGGCUGUGAAAUCCCGGAGCUCAACUCCGGGUCUGCAGUCGAUACGGGCGGACUCGAGUUCGGCAGGGGAGACUGGAAUUCCUGGUGUAGCGGUGAAAUGCGCAGAUAUCAGGAGGAACACCGGUGGCGAAGGCGGUUCUCUGGGCCUGUACUGACGCUGAGGAGCGAAAGCGUGGGGAGCGAACAGG